Molecule: ribosomal RNA, 182 nt
Filed under: Clostridioides difficile
Lineage: Bacteria; Bacillati; Bacillota; Clostridia; Peptostreptococcales; Peptostreptococcaceae
Description: partial 16S ribosomal RNA
Rfam family: Bacterial small subunit ribosomal RNA
Source: RNAcentral
GAAUGCGUUCCCGGGUCUUGUACACACCGCCCGUCACACCACGGGAGUUGGAGACGCCCGAAGCCGAUUAUCUAACCUUUUGGAAGAAGUCGUCGAAGGUGGAAUCAAUAACUGGGGUGAAGUCGUAACAAGGUAGCCGUAUCGGAAGGUGCGGCUGGAUCACCUCCUUUCUAAGGAGAAUU